RNAcentral lists this ribosomal RNA (1077 nucleotides) under Acremonium sp. KUC21262. RNAcentral's name for it is "eukaryotic LSU rRNA". It matches the Rfam family "Eukaryotic large subunit ribosomal RNA", at positions 76 to 1186 of the family's 3401-position model. Lineage: Eukaryota; Fungi; Ascomycota; Sordariomycetes; Hypocreales; Bionectriaceae. The record is from RNAcentral.
UGCCUCAGUAACGGCGAGUGAAGCGGCAACAGCUCAAAUUUGAAAUCUGGCCCCCGGGUCCGAGUUGUAAUUUGCAGAGGAUGUUUCUGGCGACGUGUCUUCCGAGUUCCCUGGAACGGGACGCCAAAGAGGGUGAGAGCCCCGUCCGGUCGAACGCCUAGCCUAUGUGAAACUCCUUCGACGAGUCGAGUAGUUUGGGAAUGCUGCUCUAAAUGGGAGGUAUACGUCUUCUAAAGCUAAAUACCGGCCAGAGACCGAUAGCGCACAAGUAGAGUGAUCGAAAGAUGAAAAGCACUUUGAAAAGAGAGUUAAAUAGUACGUGAAAUUGCUGAAAGGGAAGCGCUCAUGACCAGACUUGGGCUCGGUGAAUCAUCCGGCGUUCUCGCCGGUGCACUUUGCCGGCUCAGGCCAGCAUCAGUUCGCCUCGGGGGUCAAAGGUUUCGGGAAUGUGGCUCCUCCGGGAGUGUUAUAGCCCGUUGCGUAAUACCCUGGGGUGGACUGAGGUACGCGUUCUGCAUGGAUGCUGGCGUAAUGGUCAUCAGUGACCCGUCUUGAAACACGGACCAAGGAGUCGUCUUCGUAUGCGAGUGUUCGGGUGUCAAACCCCUACGCGGAAUGAAAGUGAACGUAGGAGAGAGCUUCGGCGCAUCUCCGACCGAUCCUGAUGUUCUCGGAUGGAUUUGAGUAAGAGCAUACGGGGCCGGACCCGAAAGAAGGUGAACUAUGCCUGUAUAGGGUGAAGCCAGAGGAAACUCUGGUGGAGGCUCGCAGCGGUUCUGACGUGCAAAUCGAUCGUCAAAUAUGGGCAUGGGGGCGAAAGACUAAUCGAACCUUCUAGUAGCUGGUUUCCGCCGAAGUUUCCCUCAGGAUAGCAGUGUUGAACUCAGUUUUAUGAGGUAAAGCGAAUGAUUAGGGACCAGGGGGCGCUUUUUAGCCUUCAUCCAUUCUCAAACUUUAAAUAUGUAAGAAGCUCUUGUUCUUAAUUGAACGUGAGCAUACGAAUGUAUCAACACUAGUGGGCCAUUUUUGGUUAAGCAGAACUGGCGAUGCGGGAUGAACCGAACGCGAGGUUAAGGU